AGAGUUUGAUCCUGGCUCAGGACGAACGCUGGCGGCGCGCUUAAAACAUGCAAGUCGAACGUGAAGCCGGGGCUUGCCCCGGUGGAAAGUGGCGAACGGGUGAGUAACACGUGAGAAACCUGCCCCGGAGACCGGGAUAACCCAGGGAAACUUGGGCUAAUACCGGAUGUCUUCACCGGACCGCAUGAUCUGGUGAAGAAAUGGAUUCCGCUCCGGGUUGGUCUCGCGGCCUAUCAGCUUGUUGGUGAGGUAACGGCUUACCAAGGCUUCGACGGGUAGCUGGUCUGAGAGGACGAUCAGCCACACUGGGACUGAGACACGGCCCAGACUCCUACGGGAGGCAGCAGUUAGGAAUCUUGCACAAUGGGGGAAACCCUGAUGCAGCGACGCCGCGUGCGGGACGAAGGCCCUCGGGUCGUAAACCGCUUUCAGCAGGAGCGAAAUUGACGGUACCUGCGGAAGAAGCCCCGGCCAACUACGUGCCAGCAGCCGCGGUAAUACGUAGGGGGCAAGCGUUGUCCGGAUUCAUUGGGCGUAAAGAGCUCGUAGGCGGUUCGGUAAGUCAGGUGUGAAAUCUCUGCGCUCAACGCAGAGCGGCCACCUGAUACUGCCGUGACUCGAGUCCGGUAGGGGAGUGUGGAAUUCCCGGUGUAGCGGUGAAAUGCGCAGAUAUCGGGAGGAACACCAGUAGCGAAGGCGGCACUCUGGGCCGUGACUGACGCUGAGGAGCGAAAGCGUGGGUAGCAAACAGGAUUAGAUACCCUAGUAGUCC
Molecule: ribosomal RNA, 772 nt
Filed under: uncultured bacterium
Lineage: Bacteria
Description: bacterial SSU rRNA
Rfam family: Bacterial small subunit ribosomal RNA
Source: RNAcentral